UGGGGAAUUUUGGACAAUGGGCGCAAGCCUGAUCCAGCCAUGCCGCGUGCGGGAAGAAGGCCUUCGGGUUGUAAACCGCUUUUGUCAGGGAAGAAAUCUUCUGAGUUAAUACCUCGGGAGGAUGACGGUACCUGAAGAAUAAGCACCGGCUAACUACGUGCCAGCAGCCGCGGUAAUACGUAGGGUGCAAGCGUUAAUCGGAAUUACUGGGCGUAAAGCGUGCGCAGGCGGUUUUGUAAGACAGAGGUGAAAUCCCCGGGCUCAACCUGGGAACUGCCUUUGUGACUGCAAGGCUUGAGUGCGGCAGAGGGGGAUGGAAUUCCGCGUGUAGCAGUGAAAUGCGUAGAUAUGCGGAGGAACACCGAUGGCGAAGGCAAUCCCCUGGGCCUGCACUGACGCUCAUGCACGAAAGCGUGGGGAGCAAACAGGAUUAGAUACCCUGGUAGUCCACGCCCUAAACGAUGUCAACUGGUUGUUGGGAAGGUUCCUUCUCAGUAACGUAGCUAACGAGUGAAGUUGACCGCCUGGGGAGUACGGCCGCAAGGUUGAAACUCAAAUGAAUUGAC
Molecule: ribosomal RNA, 566 nt
Filed under: uncultured bacterium
Lineage: Bacteria
Description: partial 16S ribosomal RNA
Rfam family: Bacterial small subunit ribosomal RNA
Source: RNAcentral